CCUCUAUUGACUUGCAUCUGAUUUAAGCCCAGGCCUUUUUCUAAUAUCCACUGUCAUAUGCCUUACAAUGUGUUAUCAUAACCACACUCUCCUCACUUUUUGGAGGAUCACCCUUGUUAAACCCAAGUUCUAUUCCUUUCCUCUCCAGUUAUUGGCUCCCCAAGCUAAAAGUAACACUGCUCCAUACUUUCCUCACUACCCUGCAUAUCC
Molecule: non-coding RNA, 210 nt
Organism: Pelobates cultripes (western spadefoot toad)
Lineage: Eukaryota; Metazoa; Chordata; Amphibia; Anura; Pelobatidae
Source: the annotation of a GenBank genome assembly